RNAcentral lists this transfer RNA (52 nucleotides) under Paratemnoides elongatus. RNAcentral's name for it is "tRNA-Asn". The record is from RNAcentral. Lineage: Eukaryota; Metazoa; Arthropoda; Arachnida; Pseudoscorpiones; Atemnidae.
UUAAUAUUAACCAAUAGGUGUUUUAUUGUUAAUAAAAUAUUUGUAUAUUUAA